CAGCAGCCGCGGUAAUACGUAGGUUGCAAGCGUUGUCCGGAUUUACUGGGUGUAAAGGGCGUGUAGGCGGAGAUGCAAGUUGGGAGUGAAAUCCCGGGGCUCAACCCCGGAACUGCUUUCAAAACUGCAUCCCUUGAGUAUCGGAGAGGCAAGCGGAAUUCCUAGUGUAGCGGUGAAAUGCGUAGAUAUUAGGAGGAACACCAGUGGCGAAGGCGGCUUGCUGGACGACAACUGACGCUGAGGCGCGAAAGCGUGGGGAGCAAACAGGAUUAGAUACCCUGGUAGUCCACGCUGUAAACGAUGAAUACUAGGUGUGGGAGGACUGACCCCUUCCGUGCCGCAGUUAACACAAUAAGUAUUCCACCUGGGGAGUACGACCGCAAGGUUGAAACUCAAAGGAAUUGACGGGGGCCCGCACAAGCAGUGGAUUAUGUGGUUUAAUUCGACGCAACGCGAAGAACCUUACCAGGGUUUGACAUCCAACUAACGAAGUAGAGAUACAUUAGGUGCCCUUCGGGGAAAGUUGAGACAGGUGGUGCAUGGCC
RNAcentral lists this ribosomal RNA (545 nucleotides) under uncultured archaeon. RNAcentral's name for it is "bacterial SSU rRNA". It matches the Rfam family "Bacterial small subunit ribosomal RNA", at positions 509 to 1050 of the family's 1533-position model. The record is from RNAcentral.